ACGCUGGCGGCAUGCCUUACACAUGCAAGUCGAACGGCAGCGCGGGCUUCGGCCUGGCGGCGAGUGGCGAACGGGUGAGUAAUACAUCGGAACGUGCCCUGUCGUGGGGGAUAACUAGUCGAAAGAUUAGCUAAUACCGCAUACGACCUGAGGGUGAAAGCGGGGGACCGUAAGGCCUCGCGCGAUAGGAGCGGCCGAUGUCUGAUUAGCUAGUUGGUGGGGUAAAGGCCUACCAAGGCGACGAUCACUAGCUGGUCUGAGAGGACGAUCACCCACACUGGGACUGAGACACGGCCCAGACUCCUACGGGAGGCAGCAGUGGGGAAUUUUGCACAAUGGGGGCAACCCUGAUCCAUCAAUGCCCCGUGUGUGAAAAAGGCCUUCAGGUUUAAAUCACUUUUGUCCCGAAAGAAAUGGCCUGGGUUAAUACCCCGCGUUCAUUACGGUCCCGGAAAAAUAAGCACCGG
This 467-nucleotide ribosomal RNA is filed under the name Cupriavidus alkaliphilus. RNAcentral describes it as "bacterial SSU rRNA". It matches the Rfam family "Bacterial small subunit ribosomal RNA", at positions 33 to 496 of the family's 1533-position model. The record is from RNAcentral. Lineage: Bacteria; Pseudomonadati; Pseudomonadota; Betaproteobacteria; Burkholderiales; Burkholderiaceae.